RNAcentral lists this ribosomal RNA (472 nucleotides) under uncultured bacterium. Its description in RNAcentral is "bacterial SSU rRNA". It matches the Rfam family "Bacterial small subunit ribosomal RNA", at positions 355 to 825 of the family's 1533-position model. The record is from RNAcentral.
UGGGGAAUUGUUCGCAAUGGGCGAAAGCCUGAUCCAGCCAUGCCGCGUGUGUGAAGAAGGUCUUCGGAUUGUAAAGCACUUUAAGUUGGGAGGAAGGGCAGUUACCUAAUACGUAUCUGUUUUGACGUUACCGACAGAAUAAGCACCGGCUAACUCUGUGCCAGCAGCCGCGGUAAUACAGAGGGUGCAAGCGUUAAUCGGAAUUACUGGGCGUAAAGCGCGCGUAGGUGGUUUGUUAAGUUGGAUGUGAAAGCCCCGGGCUCAACCUGGGAACUGCAUCCAAAACUGGCAAGCUAGAGUACGGUAGAGGGUGGUGGAAUUUCCUGUGUAGCGGUGAAAUGCGUAGAUAUAGGAAGGAACACCAGUGGCGAAGGCGACCACCUGGACUGAUACUGACACUGAGGUGCGAAAGCGUGGGGAGCAAACAGGAUUAGAUACCCCAGUAGUCCCUGAGCGGGCUGGCAAGGCGCAU